GUUUUUGACCAAUGGUGGAUGAAUAUCUGCAGACUGUGUCCUCAACUACUGCUAGCAUCACACAGGAAAAGUCAAGUCUUGCAACAGCUGUGAACUGCUCAGGAAGUGCUGCGUUCCAUAUGAUAACCUGUAUUGUUCCAUUGCUGCUUCUACGACUAUUCUAAUUCAAAAAUCAUGAAACAGCAGUUUUACCUUCUGAAAGUUAUGGGUGACUACUGCCCAUCAUAUUAUGCAACGUUAACAUUUCUGCAGCUUGAAGAAAUAAAGGCAGCAAAUAUCUGUUCUAGUGCUUCAGCUAAAAGUCCCCUCCUUAACCUGUCUAGAUAAGAAGAGACCCGACAGCAUCCAUACAAACAGAAUCCCACAAAGUGUUGUCAUUUAUUUGUGUUUUGUCAUGAUAUUGCCCAUGUCACUGAUGACUUUUGACUUAAAAGUAAAAUUGUCUUAUGAUAACCGUUCAUUUUAAAUUCUGUUAAACUAAAAGCAUAUCUUGUGAGAAAUAAAAUGAAAUCAUAUAUACCUG
Long non-coding RNA from Protopterus annectens (West African lungfish), 523 nucleotides. RefSeq lists it as uncharacterized. NCBI's taxonomy places the organism in Eukaryota, Metazoa, Chordata, Ceratodontiformes, Protopteridae. The transcript has 3 exons. The record is from RefSeq and is a predicted model, not a curated record.